GACGAACGCUGGCGGCGUGCCUAAUACAUGCAAGUAGAACGCUGAAGGAGGAGCUUGCUUCUCUGGAUGAGUUGCGAACGGGUGAGUAACGCGUAGGUAACCUGCCUGGUAGCGGGGGAUAACUAUUGGAAACGAUAGCUAAUACCGCAUAAUAGUAGAUGUUGCAUGACAUUUUCCUAAAAGUUGCAAUUGCAUCACUACCAGAUGGACCUGCGUUGUAUUAGCUAGUUGGUGGGGUAACGGCUCACGAAGGCGACGAUACAUAGCCGACCUGAGAGGGUGGUCAGCCACACUGAGAGUGAGACACGGCCCAGAGUGCUUCAGGAGGCAGCAGUAGGGAAUCGUCAGCAAUGGGCGGAAGUCUGACCGAGCAACGCCGCGUGAGGGAAGAAGAUUUUCGGAUCGUAGAGCUCGGUUGUAAGGGAAGAACGAGUGUGAGAGUGGAAAGUUCACAGUGUGACGGUAUCGUACCAGAAAGGGACGGCUAACUACGUG
This 495-nucleotide ribosomal RNA is filed under the name uncultured bacterium. RNAcentral's name for it is "partial 16S ribosomal RNA". It matches the Rfam family "Bacterial small subunit ribosomal RNA", at positions 28 to 507 of the family's 1533-position model. The record is from RNAcentral.